GAUGAACGCUAGCUACAGGCUUAACACAUGCAAGUCGAGGGGAAACGGCAUUAAGUGCUUGCACUUUUUGGACGUCGACCGGCGCACGGGUGAGUAACGCGUAUCCAACCUUCCCAUGACUAAGGGAUAACCUGCCGAAAGGCAGACUAAUACCUUAUGGUCUUCACUGACGGCAUCAGAUGUGAAGUAAAGAUUUAUCGGUUAUGGAUGGGGAUGCGUCUGAUUAGCUUGUUGGCGGGGUAACGGCCCACCAAGGCAACGAUCAGUAGGGGUUCUGAGAGGAAGGUCCCCCACAUUGGAACUGAGACACGGUCCAAACUCCUACGGGAGGCAGCAGUGAGGAAUAUAGGUCAAUGGGCGAGAGCCUGAACCAGCCAAGUAGCGUGCAGGAUGACGGCGCUAUGGGUUGUAAACUGCUUUUGUAUGGGGAUAAAGUCAAUCACGUGUGAUUGUUUGCAGGUACCAUACGAAUAAGGACCGGCUAAUUCCGU
This 491-nucleotide ribosomal RNA is filed under the name uncultured bacterium. RNAcentral describes it as "partial 16S ribosomal RNA". It matches the Rfam family "Bacterial small subunit ribosomal RNA", at positions 28 to 506 of the family's 1533-position model. The record is from RNAcentral.